GCAUGAGAGUGGCGGACGGGUGAGUAACGCGUAGAAAUCUACCCCUAGGAGGACCAUAGCUCAUCGAAAGAUGGGGUAAUAGUCCAUGGUCUCCAAAAGAGUAAAGCAAUUAACUUUGCGCCAAGGGAGGAGUCUGCGUCCUAUCAGCUAGUUGGUGGGGUAAUGGCCUACCAAGGCAAUGACGGGUAGCUGGACUGAGAGGUCGAUCAGCCACAACUGCACUUAGACACGGGCAGUACACCUACGGGUGGCAGCAACUAGGAAUAUUGGGCAAUGGGCGCAAGCCUGACCCAGCGACGCCGCGUGGAGGAUGACAGCCCUCGGGUUGUAAACUCCUUUUAAUAAGCCUUUCACGGCUUAUAGAAUGAGCCCCUACUAACUACGUGCCAGAAGUCUCGGUAAUACGUAGGGGGCAAGCGUUAUCCGGAUUUAUUGGGCGUAAAGUGUGCGUAGGCGCCUCGACAAGUCGUAUCUUAAAGACCAAGGCUUAACCUUGGGAAUCGAUACGAUACUGCCGAGGUUGAGGAUUGUUAGGGAUGUCGGAACAGCUAGUGUAGCAGUGAAAUGCGUUGAUAUUAGCUGGAACACCAAAGGCGAAGGCAGACAUCUGGAAUUUUCCUGACGCUGAGGCACGAAAGCUAGGGUAGCGAAACAGAUUAGAUACCUGUGUAGUCCUAGCCGUAAACGAUGUCCGCUAGCUCUGUGUAUUUUUUAUACGGGGUGUAAGCUAACGCGUUAAGCGGACCGCCUGGGGAGUACGGCCGCAAGGCUAAAACUCAAAGGAAUUGACGGGGACCCGCACAACCGGUGGAGCGUGUGGUUCAAUUCGAGACAAAACGAAAAACCUCACCAGGGCUUGACAUGAUACCGUUUAUUUCCCAAGAAACUGGGAGAAAUCCGCAAGGAUGGUACCACAGGUGCUGCAUGGCUGUCGUCAGCUCGUGCCGUGAGGUGUUCCCUUAAGUGGGGAAACGAGCGCAACCCCCGUCCAAUGUUGAAUAUUCAUUGGAGACGGCCCCGGUUUUACCGGGAAGGAAGGAGGGGAAGACGUCAAGUCAGCAUGGCCCUUAUGCCCUGGGCUACACACACACUACAAUGGCGAAAAACAACGGGCUGCAAGCCGGUAACGGCAAGCUAAUCCCUGAAAUUUCGCCUCAGUUCAGAUUGAGGUCUGCAACUUGACCUCAUGAAGUCGGAAUCGGUAGUAAUCGCAGAUCAGCAUGCUGCGGUGAAUACGUUCUCGGGUCUUGUACACACCGCCCGUCAAGGCAGCAAAGUCGGUAGUAGACGAACUUCGACAAUUUGUCGUGGGAGUCUAAAAUCGGCGAUGAGGCUUAAGUCGUAACAAGGUA
This 1352-nucleotide ribosomal RNA is filed under the name metagenome. Its description in RNAcentral is "bacterial SSU rRNA". It matches the Rfam family "Bacterial small subunit ribosomal RNA". The record is from RNAcentral.